This 468-nucleotide ribosomal RNA is filed under the name uncultured bacterium. Its description in RNAcentral is "partial 16S ribosomal RNA". It matches the Rfam family "Bacterial small subunit ribosomal RNA", at positions 28 to 507 of the family's 1533-position model. The record is from RNAcentral.
GACGAACGCUGGCGGCGUGCUUAAUACAUGCAAGUCGAACGGAAAGGCCCUGCUUUUGUGGGGUGGUCGAGUGGCGAGCGGGUGAGUAACACGUGAGUAACCUGCCCUUGUCUUUGGGAUAACUUUAGGAGACUGGGGCUAAUACCGGAUAGGAGCUCCUGCUGCAUGGUGGGGGUUGGAAAGUUUCGGCGGUUGGGGAUGGACUAGCGGCUUAUCAGCUUGUUGGUGGGGUAGUGGCGGACCAAGUCUUUGACGGGUAGCCGACCUUGGAGCGUGACCGGCCACAUUGGGACUGAGAGACGGCCCAGACGCCAACGUGCGGCAGCAGGCGGAAACAUGGCACAAUAGGCGGAAGCCUGAGGCAGCGACGCCGCGUGCGUAAUGACCGCCUUCGGGUGAUAAACCGCUUUCUCCGUUAACGAGGCGUGAGUGACGGUAACGAGUAAAGAAGCACCGGCUAACUACGUG